UACGGAGGGGGUUAGCGUUGUUCGGAAUUACUGGGCGUAAAGCGCGCGUAGGCUGACUAGUAAGUCAGAGGUGAAAUCCCGGGGCUCAACCUCGGAACUGCCUCCAAAACUAUCAGUCUGGAGUUCGAGAGAGGUGAGUGGAAUUCCGAGUGUAGAGGUGAAAUUCGUAGAUAUUCGGAGGAACACCAGUGGCGAAGGCGGCUCACUGGCUCGAUACUGACGCUGAGGCGCGAAAGCGUGGGGAGCGAAUAGG
Molecule: unclassified non-coding RNA, 253 nt
Filed under: uncultured Rhodobacterales bacterium
Lineage: Bacteria; Pseudomonadati; Pseudomonadota; Alphaproteobacteria; Rhodobacterales
Description: contains 16S-23S intergenic spacer region
Rfam family: Bacterial small subunit ribosomal RNA
Source: RNAcentral